UUGAGAUGGGGAAAAGUGUGUAUAGAGUGAAAUGAGUAACACUAGCUCUCAUUGACAUAGAUAAGAAAGAAUGCAUGGUGAAGAGAGAAUCUAUUUCAUGUAAACCCAACAGGGAAUCUAGCUAUCUAAGUAUGGUACUGUAGCAAGUCAUAAAAGGCAGCAAUAUGACGUAAUGGUCAUUUAGCCAAACAAGGAUAAUUAAAAUUACUGCCCAUAUAUGAAUUCUAAACUUUCUUCAAAGAAAUCUUUCACAAAAUGCAGGUCUUAGAAUUCGGACAUGAGCAGUUAUAAAAACCCUGAUUUUUGGGAAAUUACUGUGAUUGUAGGAUGUUACUAAACUCCACGACACUCACUCCUUGAGAUAUUGGCUAUUUUUUAUGCCAUGUCUAUGACUUAAAUCCAACAAGACUUAUUUGAAUUGUUAUGAACUCUAGUAGUUAGUAUGAAGGAUUAGCUAGUGUGAAUUUUAAGUCGUAACUCUCUACGACAAAAUGACUUUACUUUCCAAUUGUACUAUCAAUA
Octopus sinensis (East Asian common octopus) is the source of this 522-nucleotide long non-coding RNA. RefSeq lists it as uncharacterized. The record is from RefSeq and is a predicted model, not a curated record. The transcript has 4 exons. NCBI's taxonomy places the organism in Eukaryota, Metazoa, Mollusca, Cephalopoda, Octopoda, Octopodidae.